GAUGAACGCUGGCGGCGUGCUUAAUACAUGCAAGUCGAACGGAUGAAGGAAGAAAGCUUGCUUUCUUCCCGAUUCAGUGGCGAACGGGUGAGUAAUACGUAGGCAACCUGCCCCAAAGCGGGGGAUAGCAGUUGGAAACGACUAUUAAUACCGCAUAGGUAAUAGGGAGGCAUCUCCUUAUUAUUAAAGGUGCGUUUGCACCGCUAUGGGAUGGGCUUACGCUGUAUUAGCUUGUUGGUGAGGUAACGGCCCACCAAGGCGAUGAUACAUAGCCGGUCUGAGAGGAAGGUCCCCCACACUGGUACUGAGACACGGUCCAAACUCC
This 325-nucleotide ribosomal RNA is filed under the name uncultured Erysipelotrichaceae bacterium. RNAcentral's name for it is "bacterial SSU rRNA". It matches the Rfam family "Bacterial small subunit ribosomal RNA", at positions 28 to 339 of the family's 1533-position model. The record is from RNAcentral. Lineage: Bacteria; Bacillati; Bacillota; Erysipelotrichia; Erysipelotrichales; Erysipelotrichaceae.